AACGAACGCUGGCGGCGUGCCUAAUACAUGCAAGUAGAACGCACAGUUUAUACCGUAGCUUGCUACACCAUAGACUGUGAGUUGCGAACGGGUGAGUAACGCGUAGGUAACCUGCCUGGUAGCGGGGGAUAACUAUUGGAAACGAUAGCUAAUACCGCAUAAUAUUAAUUAUUGCAUGAUAAUUAAUUGAAAGGUGCAAUUGCACCACUACCAGAUGGACCUGCGUUGUAUUAGCUAGUAGGUGAGGUAACGGCUCACCUAGGCGACGAUACAUAGCCGACCUGAGAGGGUGAUCGGCCACACUGGGACUGAGACACGGCCCAGACUCCUACGGGAGGCAGCAGUAGGGAAUCUUCGGCAAUGGACGAAAGUCUGACCGAGCAACGCCGCGUGAGUGAAGAAGGUUUUCGGAUCGUAAAGCUCUGUUGUAAGAGAAGAACGGGUGUGAGAGUGGAAAGUUCACACUGUGACGGUAUCUUACCAGAAAGGGACGGCUAACUACGUG
Molecule: ribosomal RNA, 505 nt
Filed under: uncultured bacterium
Lineage: Bacteria
Description: partial 16S ribosomal RNA
Rfam family: Bacterial small subunit ribosomal RNA
Source: RNAcentral